This 9286-nucleotide long non-coding RNA is filed under the name Nicotiana benthamiana. RNAcentral describes it as "long non-coding RNA (NBEN_LNC019030)". The record is from RNAcentral. Lineage: Eukaryota; Viridiplantae; Streptophyta; Magnoliopsida; Solanales; Solanaceae.
UUAUGAUGUAGGAGGUGCUAAAGGGUACAUGUCGUGGAAGGUAGGUAGUGAGAUUUCAAAAUAAUAAUAAUAAUAAUAAUAAUAAUAAUAAUAAUAUAUGCGUGUCGCACACUGGGAGAAUAAAAAGAUAUGACAGCUGAGGCGGCGUAUGCACGGCCGCGCACGAGGCUACCUGAUCGCGCACUGAUCGCACAUCAGGUACGUUUUUUCUUUCUCUUUUUUUUUUUUUUAAAAAAAUUGUAGCUUCCCUCUUAAAACCCCCAAUUCUAAAAUCCCCCUUUCACUCACCUCCGCAAAACAACCCUAACCCAUCCCCCUUCUCUCAUAUCCUCUCUUAAGAAUAUAAUAAUACCAUCAAUGAUAGUGCAAUAUUAUCUCUUCUCCCCUCACCACAUCCUCACAAGUCUUCCCUUAAGUAAGUGAGAUGUUUCUCCUUCUUUCCUUAGUUUUUCUUUUUCUUGUGUUGUAGUAGAUUUUUGUUGGUGUUAUCUUUCUAUUUAUUCUCAGUUCCAUGUGGGCUGGAAAUUGAAUUUUAUCAUGGAUGGUCUAGGUGUGACAUUGGUUGCGUCAUUAGUAUUUAAAACUGUUUAGUGCGGGGUGGGGGUGGUCAGAAGAGAUGUGCAUAUCAGGUGUUCGUAUAAAUGUCCCAAAGAGUUUGAGAGUGUAAUCUUGUGACCAAGUGUAAAGGUGAAGUCUGAGUAGCCUCUCUUGGAUCACUAAUUCUGCCAUUAGCUAAUAUUUGGUGUUUGUUAAAGGCAUUAUGGAACCAUAUAAAAAAUGAAAAAUCAUUUGUGCCCCCUCCUCAAGUGGUCACGCUGGCUCGUCCCACUCACGAAAUUCUGCAUAUGCUCGUACGUAUGAUAAUAGCAAGUUUGUCUCCUGGGAAGCCGAGGAAUGAAUCCAAAGAAAGAAAGAGAAGCCCAUACCGUAGAGGGGAAUUGAUAUGGGGUCCCUAAAAAUGACUGUCCCAAUCAGGCGCUGCUUGGGGAUAUUUUUUUAAAACCCUGAAGAGGACAACUUAAUGGUUGUUUGGGAAUUUCAGGCAAACUGUCCGGAACAUGACAAUCAUGUCUGCAUAGCUUGAAAGAAAAGUGUAUAUUUUUCCAAAGAGACCAUUCGACGGGUCUGCCAUUUGACAAUGUUUGGAGAAAAUCAUAAAGUAGAAGACCAUAUGACACGUAAAGAAGAGUACUGACCAUGUAGCAGCUGUUCUUUAGAACAUUUAUGUACCCAACAAGGAGGUAGUGUGGAUAAAGUAGGGGUAGAAUUUUCAUUCGUCAUCGCUUACUUUUGAAGGGAAUUUUUGGCUCCACAUUAUAAAUACCCACAUGUUGCCUUCCGGAAACACCACUGAGGUGAAUGGUCCCCGGGCCGCAUUGAUCUAGUGUUUUAUCAAUGGUCAUAAUUUUGAUAUGGCUAAGGUUAUUCAGGAUGAGAUUUUCAUUCGUUCUCCUAUAUAGAGGUAUGGGUUCUUUUUCCCAUUCUUAGUUACUCGGUUAUGCUAUGAGGCACAUGUAACGAAAAUCAAAGAUAUGGUGGAAAAAUCAAACAUGAAAAAAAAAAAUCGGGCUGAUAAAGUAAUAAUUGGGAAGGACGCUGCUGGGCCUAUUGAGGCAGAUAGCAAGGAGUCUGAUGCGCCAAAAGAUGGCAAUGAUGUGCAAGAUGAGGAUAUUGUUAUCUCUCCACCAUAUGAGCAGGUCCCCGCAACCCCACCGCAUGAGGAGGAUGUUGGGAAAACCUCAUGUGGCAGAUGAGAAACAAGAAUGAGUGUCUAAGACAGCAGAUGAAGGGGAUGCGUACCUAUGCCACAGACUUGGGAGCUCGAGUGGACGCCCUUGCUACACAAAAUGCCAAUUCUGAGAGGAAGAUCAUGGCAUGGCUACGUGCACGUGGAUGGGCUUGCCAUUAGACCCUGUCAUUGUCUUCGACACGAACUGACUCUACUAGGGAAGUUUUCUUCACCUUGUAUUUUCAUUGUGUGACAUGGGGGCAUGCCACCAUUUAGAGUGUGGUAUGGAAGCAAUGUGUGUGUUGUAUGUAUAUGUAUAUGAUUUUUCCUCUUGGUAGUUAUAGUUUUCUUUGUCUUAUCUAGCUCCAGUAAGUAGAGACAAUCAAAAAGAAAAAGGUAAAACCAUAAAAUUUUAAAAUUUUUUACUUUUCCCGAUGAUGGAUAUCAUUCAACGGGUUUCUUGAGGGACCAAAGUCGAAAGAAAAAGAUAAAAAAAUUAUUAGGUAGUGUAUUAAUUCCCCCUUGAUUUUUCUUUGUGUCACGAUUUUUUUCCGAUGAUUUUGUUUAGCUGGGUGUAGUUAGAUUUUUGUUUUAGGAGUAGGAAAACCUUCAGCUGCAAUUUGAAAUGAAAGCAAUAUCUCUCAACUUCGUUAUGCCUUGAGAAUAGUCAGUGCUUUAAUUGUGAUGCUUAGGCUUAGUUUUUGACUUUUAUAGAAGUACCUCAAAUUGUAUGAUUUGAACUUUACUUAAUUGUUUUAACUAGAGUGUCUUGAUAAAAUCCAAUCUUGAAUGAGUUAUGUGACAUGUGUGCUUGAGGUUUUGGAUAUUCUAUGCAUUGAAUUUGAUGUCUAGAACUUGUUCCGUAUGUUUGCAAAGCGAAAUAGUAGUUUUGUUCAGUCUUGGAAGUGAUAUAGGCGUUUCUUUGUUGAUCCAGCUAUAUGUUACUAACUACCUAAUUGUAUGUAUCUUAAUUAACCCAUUUAAGCUUGUAAUCAUAUUUUCUCUGGCGACCACAUUACUAACCUUUCCCAUUUGUUUGAAUUAGCCGUCUAUUUGAACCUUGUACCUCUCUUGAGCACAUAAAUUAUAUGAACUCUGUGAAAUAUGAAGUGUGAUGUGAUUGAUUUGGCUUUUGAAUGGAGUUAAUAAAAUAAGGAUACAGGUAUAUUAUUUUGAAAAAGUAAGAGCCACUUGAAUUGAAUGAGAAGAGAAAAGGAAAAAAAAAGUAGUUGUAGUGUUGUGCAAAAUAUUCAUUGAUGGUGGUAGCUAUUGAUGUAAUUGUGCUUAAAUAAUUUAGAAGUUGAUGUAUAUCGAUGCAAAUGUGGAGUUAUGGUUUGACAUAAGUGUGGGGUUUUGAAUGUUAAAGUGUAUGUAUUAAAGUACUUAGGGAGGUGUAUUCACUUCUAUAUCUAACAAUAUUCUACCCGUUCCGCGGCCUAUAUUACAACCAAUUAAAGUCCUACUUGAUCCUUGUUUGAAUGAACUCAAUUAGUAGAAUAGUACAUUACGGACAAGCCUACGGUUCAUCUUUUGUAGCAUACGAAUGUUAGUUCUGAGGGUGAGUGAAUUCUUUCUAUCUUGAAUUUUUAAUUGUUUCUUAAAUUUUAUGGUGUAUGGAACUACUCUUUAUUAUUGUGUGAGGGCACUUUAUUCUUGAAUGAAAUAUAAUUUUUGACCUCUAUGUGAAAGAAAGUGAGCUGGUUAUAGAUAAUGUAUGGUGUUAUUGAGUGAAAAUUUGAGGUUAAGAUGUCGCGAUAUUGUAUUUAAUUUGUUUUAAAGAGUUUUGGUGUGAUAAAUCUUGAGUGUUCCUGAACAAGGGCGUAUUUAGGUGAAGUGUAGUUGGAUUGCUCGCAGAAAAACAAAAUACUUGAUCCAAUUCACCUAAUACGAAAGUUUGUUUGAAUUUGGAAAUUGAAAUUGUCUUUUUGUUCUUCUAAUACUCUUGCUAUGAAUAUGUUCUCCGUUAUGAAUUGACUUUAUUUUGGGUUUUACUCUAUGUUAAGUGCCCAAAUUUAGUGAAUAUGUUAUUAAUUGAAUUGUAAAGCUCAUUAUAGUCUUACUUUAAUCUAAAGAGAAGUUUGCAGGUAUUUCAUUGUGUCAUCUUAUUCGGAUUGUUUCUAUGCCACUUCUAGGUAAUUAAAAGAGCUAAGAGAGUUAUCAAUUAACCAUGUUCAGAGAAUAACCGAGAGGUGUUCUUCGAAAGAGCAUUCCUUCAAAACUUUAGUGCAUAUGUUCAUAGGACCUGUUAUUAGGCUAAUUAAAGGAAUCACAUUUAUUUGGAAGAAGGAUUCGAAUCCGCGAAGUAGCCUAAUCAUCUAUUAAAAUCAAAGGAAUCAAUAGAAGUUAAGAAUGAAUUUAACACAGAGUUACCUGGAACAAUAGUUGAUCACAUAUCUUUUGACAACCCUUACUUCUCGCACUGAUAUUCCAUCGUUGUUACUUAUCAUUGGGGUAUCAUUAGUUUCUUACAAUUGAUAAUCUUAGUUUUAUUUGUAGUCGAUAAUAACAUCAAUCAAAAGGUUUAUUAUCCUGGAUAGUAUUGAGGUGAAGAUUUAUUAGAACAUAAUUGAAACCAAUCCAUAUGGAGACGAUUUCAUAUUAUACUAUCUUAGGCUAGCAAGUCCGCAUUUUAUACAACGAUUCUGUGCUCGUCAACUAAUCACCGGGCGUAGCACAAACAUCAGUACCAUCAAACCCAUCAGCAGUACCAGAAUCACCAUGAGCAGGUGAGUUAUUAGGUUUAGUAGUCUUAACAUGAGCAGUAGUUCUGCGAGGAGGAGGAGCUCCUUUGUUGAACUUGAAAUUGGGAGGAAAACCAUGUAGUUUAUAAUAAUUUCUAUGGUGUGCUCAAGUUUCUUGCGAUACUUGCGAGCGACAAUAGGUCUAGGAGUUUCAAAGGAAGCCUUGGAAGGGAAGGGGGUUUGGAUGUGCCAGCAUUGAAUGAAGUAGAAGUAGUUGAACAAUGAGAUGCAGAGGAGACUUGUAUCGUCUUUUCAUCCGACAAAAGGAUGUUAUAGGUGUUUUCAAUAGAAGAGAGAAGCUUCAUCAUUAAUAUAUUUCUCCUAAUUUGCAUGUAAGUGUCUUGAGGCUCAUGAAGAACUGAUAUACUUUAUACUCCUCAUCUUCAGCAGCCUUACUCCUACAAGUACAAACCCCACUCGAUAAGAUGCUAUCUCUUCCCACAAUUGCUUAAUUUUGUUAAAGUAAGAUUCUAUGUCUAAGGAACCAUGGAAAUGUGAGCUAAUUCCUUUUUUGAAUUCAGAUACCCUAGCACCGUCUUCCUUUCCAUAUCUAUCUUCCAAUUCUGACCAUAUAUAUUUAGGAUAUUCAGAAUACUCUACACUUCGAGAUAUUUCUUAGAAAAGAAAUUUGUCAACCUUGAGACGACAAAAUCAUUACAACGAUGUCAUUGUCUGACAAGAGGAGAACUAUUUGGAGGUCUCACCGAAUUCCAUUGAUAAAAUCAAGUUUGUUCCUAAUCAACAGGGCAACUAGGACAUUCUUUCUCUAACUAUCAUAACCAUUUCCAUCAAAUGGAGUAGAAACAAGAGAAGUUCCUAACAUACAAAGGAUGACUAGGGUAAGUAUGGCCAUCCUCAUGAAAUGUGGUGCAAUAAACAGGAGGCUCACAAGAGACAAUAGUAGGUAUGUGAGUAGGUGCAAGACUAGAAGGUACAAAAGUCUCAUUUGCAAUUUUUAAAGUAAUUGAAUGAAAAUCAACAUAAAACAAUAGGCAUGCAAGAAGAUUUGUGAGAAGGAGCGAGAUUACUCCCCCUCUUUUGCAACCGAAAAGAGAACAAUCCUCCAAAUUGACCAAAGAUUUACUAAUUGAAGCUCCGAGGAACCCCUAGCUGGAAGGAAAAUUCCUACUUUGAGAAGAACCCACGAAAUCCUCCAAAAUUGGUGUUUUGCUUUUCAGAAGCAAACCAUAAAUAGCCUCAGUAGAUAGAAAUUGGAAGAAACACUUCGAAUUUGGCAGAGACCCUAAAAUCACAGAUGCAUAGAUCACUGUCGCGAUUAGAAAAUAUCGACGAAAUUCUAGGGUAGGAUCGAUCGAAAGCGGGGAGAGAAAUUUACCAGAAUCUAUGCUCUGAUAUCAUGUAAAUUUGUAGAUAUCAUGUGAAAUUGGAAGAAUGAAAUUUAGUGUUCAUGUUUGGUUUGAGAGGAAACUUCGAGAUGUUUUCUAUAUUUAAAGUGUUCUGUCCAAUUGAAGAUUGGGCCCAAUGUAUUUAUAUGACCAGGAACUUAAUACUCUAUGAUACUCUAAAUAUAGCUACCGGAUAAAUUACGACAUAUCACCCAAUAUAAUAGGUCUAACAUUAGCCUAUACCCUCUAACAUAUUCUAACAUAACCUAAAUCUUGUUCUCUCAGUGCUGAUAGUGAAUUAGGGCGUGUUUGCUACGAAGGAAAAUAUUUUCAUAAAAAAAUAUUUUCUUGGCAAAUAUUUUCUUAGAACGUAAUUAAUUUUCUUACUUAUUUUUGAUGUUUGGUUAAUAAGCAAAAAAUAUUGUACCAAGAAUAGUUAACUAUAACACAAAACCUAACCAUCCGAAUAAAAAAUAUUUGUUAUUUUUAAAACACAUAAAAACAAAUAGUAAUAUUUAAAGACCAGCCUCGUCAUUGCAGUCAAUCACCCCUAAUUGGCUAACUUGGGCCAUUUGGGUCCUAAAACCUUUGAGUAAUUCUUGGGGUCCGAAUCUAAUUAUCGGAUGUUAAUUAAACUAAUUUUUAAAAUUAAAUUUGAUUAAUAGUCUUGGGUUCCAUUUUGAUUAUUGGAUGUAAAUUAAACUAAUUCUUAAAAUUAAAUUAAAAUUAGGAGGGAGUCGAGCGUAUUUCUACGUUUUUUCCGAGGCAGGACUAGGCUGAUAAUAUUUCACCUUAGGUUGUUAGUGGUUUAUGCAGCUUUCAUACUAUUUUUUAUGGCAUUAGUACUGGUUAUUAUUAUUGUUUUAUAUUUAUUUUUUAUUUUUUACAAUGAUGAUAUUAUUUUAUUUUUCCGGCUUCUGUUGAUGUUACUGGCUUAUUUCUAUUAUUUAUUUUCUUCUUCUUGAGCCGUGGGUCUUUUGGAAAUAGCUUCUCUAUUCCUCUGGGGCAGGGGGUAAGGUCUACAACACUAUACUUUCUUCGGACCCUACUUGUGGAAUUUUUACUGAAUUACUGUUGUUGUUAUUGUAAAUUUGAUUGAGUUAAUUUAUUACUAUCUUUUAUACUGAAGCUACAUGAACUAGAACUUGCAAUAUCAUUUAAAAUGGUGAAACAUACAUAAGAGAAUGUUCAAAGUUCACUUAAUUUGAAUCUCAAAAAAACAGAAGUAGAAUAACUAUUUGAAUGGCACGAGGAAGAUCCUUGUCAACUAAUCCCUAAUUCUAUAAAUUAUUUGUCCUGGGACAAUUCAAAAGCCUAGUUCUCAGUUCCUCAAACAGAUAGAUGGAGUCGAGCACUCAAGCCAUGAGAUAUACCCUUAUCUACCCAAAAGUCGUUGAGCAAUUCUGUAUUACAAUGUAAGUAACCUACUUUUACGCGAGUAUCAAAGGUCAAUUUUACAGCUUGAAUCCGUAACCUAUGAAUCAAAUGAAAAUAAUUUUAUUGUUGCUCCGAAGCUGCCUUCAGUGUAAAACAACAUAUGUACUACAAAUUGAUCCAUAAAAUGCUAUUACGGUACUAGGAGUAAUAAUAUUAGAUUCAUAUAGUAGCGCAGAAUUACUGAGUUGUUGUCAUACAGUAGCGCAGAACCGAAAGCCCCCCAAGCCCUAGCAUUUGUUACAAUAACUUCUGCAUUGCAAUUACUUUAUUUACUCAUCACCGUGCACUUCUAUUUGAUCAAAAACAAGAAAAAUGAAGUGCAUCUUUUUACACAUUAAGCAACACGAAAUAGCAGAAGUAUAGUACAUAUACAAUUCAAAUCAUUUUCCCUCACCAACGCCCUCUUCUUCCUCUGUUCGGUCUUCCAAUUCUCAUUCUUCCUCUCCUUUGGUUUCUCAAAGUAUGCACCAACAUUUCAGUUCUCAAUCUUUUAGCUUCUUGAAUUUCACCUACAUCAACCUUUUCUUCCUCAAUCUCGUCCUUCUCGUCGUCUUCUGGGGUGCUCGGACUCUUCUCGUCCUUGAUUCGAUUAGCUUCAUCGGCUUUUCGCUUGAGCAAAUUAACCACUCCCUCAAGAGCAACAUCAGCAUCCUCACUUCUCAUGAGUUCCUCUGCAAUUUCUGCAGGGGUUGCCUCUACAUUCUUGAUUAGGCCUUCAAUUUCCUUGAACAGUCUAUGGUCACGAACGCCUAUGUAGUUAAAAGCCAGAAUCUUGAAACUCUGAUUAGUACAAUAGGACAUAUGAAUAUGCAUAUCCAUUCGACCAGGUCUCAAUAGUGCUGGAUCUAAUUUCUCCUUGCGGUUGGUUGUGAAUACAAUAAUUCUUUCGUCCCCACAAUUGGACCACAAUCCAUCAAUGAAGUUCAACAAACCAGAUAACGUUAACUGCAGUAGAAACACAAAUCAACAUUGAGAAAUUGACUUAUCUCAUAAAUUUAACAAAUAAAACACUAGAUUACACAUAUAUGUCCCUUCGUCCCAAUUUAUGGAAUCAUACAAACAUGUACAACUUAUUUUAAACCACAAGCCUCAAAAUCUUUCUUUCUUUCUUAAACUCUGUGUUAACGGUCAAACCAUAUCACAUAAAUUAGUACGAAAGAAAUACUAUUUAACAUUUCAAAAAGAUAAAAAGAUAAAGGGGAAAUGAAAUCAGACCUUAGUGUCAGCGGGUUGAUGCCCAAGAUUUCGAUCGUGCAUUUCCACACUACAAUCAAUAUCUUCAAUCACAAUAAUAGAUCGGUUCGAAGUGGAGAUCAAAAUCCUUCUUAAUUCCGAGUUAGAAUACAAACUAGUAAGUUCCAAAUCAUAAAUAUCAAACUUCAAGUAAUUGGCCAUGGCAGCAAUCAAGCUAGAUUUCCCAGUUCCUGGAGGUCCAUAUAAAAGAUACCCUCUUUUCCAAGCCUUACCAACUUUUUUAUAAAAAUCUCUCCUUUUCACAAAUCUAUCAAGAUCCUCAACUAUCAUCUUUUUCAUAUCAGGUUCCAUAGCCAAAGUAUCAAAAGUAGCAGGAUGGUCUAAGUUUAUUGAACCCCAAACCCCACCACCCCCACCUCCAUACCCAUACCCAUCAUCAUCACUACCACAAGGACAAUCCCUUGUAUACAAUUUCACUGCUCUAUCAUUAUCUUGAAUUUCCUUAGCCUUAGUCAACACAAAAGGUAAGUACUCAUUCAACACACUUACUUUAAACUUCUUAUUAAAACUGAGCUCAAAGAAUCUUUUCUCUGGGGUAUAACUUCGGUCUUGAGGCUCAACAGAAACCAAUUUCCAUUUCAACUGUACGACGCCGUAUAAAUCACUGAUCUCUUCAUCCUUCUCUAUGCUAACGUUGAUGUUUUUCUGUUUAGGGGUUUUGUGUGCCCGGACUCGGUCAGCAUUAGGGCCGAUCUUUGUACGGAGGUAAAUUUCGGCGGCUUCGUACACUUGGUUUCUGGUCAUACCACACUGUUCGUCGACGAUGAUAGUGAGCUGGC